UUAAAUUAUUUUUAAUAUUUAUAAUAUAAGAAUAAUGGAAUAAAUUGUCAUUUGGCUGUCAUUUAACAAUAUUAAAUUGAGUUACAGCGGAAUAAAAAGUAAAUUUAUUAUAAUCAAGUAAUUAAGAGUACUGUAAAACAGCAAAAGAAAGCGAAAUACUGCUGUUUAUUGAGAAACAUAUACUAAAAUGAAAUGUGUAUAACAAUUACAAAUCAUAUGACUGACGUGGAUCAUGGCUGAUAUGGAUGACUUCCAUUUGAGUAUGAUGAAUAUUGAAUAUGUUAUUUUGAGGUUUGAAACUUGUUGACAGUCUGGUUUCCAGAAGAUGUUGCUAACUGUUAGAGCAAGAAAAAUGUUAGCCAAAUUUGCAUGUCGUUCAUAAGGAAGCAUCACAAAGUAUAAGAAUCGAAUAUAUAAAAAUAGUAUAGAGAAAAGGAAUUAUGUUUCCAAAACUUUGAGAAAAUUUGUAAACUUUCAAUUACAUAUUUCAAAAGCGGUUCCAAAAAUACUCUUCAAUAAUUUUUGUAUCGAAUAAUUGAAUAUCAGAUGAAUUUGAAGUUGAAAUAUUUGGAGCUUAUAUUAUUAUCACAAAUUACUGAUAGUGCCUUAUGAGAUGACUAAGAAUAUUAAAUGAAGUAAAAAAUUCAAAUAUAGUAGACGAUGGCUCUAUUCGGAAAACCUUAUAAAUCAUCUUGUUAAGCUUGAAUAUGAAAAUGGUUUUGGGUGAUUUUGAAGACCGAUAAUAAUUCCGCCUAUUAUUUCCUAACUUAUAUUAUUAUUAUUGCUAUUAUUUGGAUUCAAGGAUUCAGUUAAGAGUCUUGGAAAAUUUAAUAAAUUUUCCUUCCUUUGAGAUAAAAAUGUUGGCCACUAAUGUUUUUUGUCGAAUAAUCAUAGCAUCAGAUAAAUCAGAACAUCAUUGUAUAAAGAUCGGAAAAAUUUCGUGGACGAGAUUUAUAAAUUAAAAAAUAUUUUUUGAAUUAUAUAAAAAUAAAAGAAUAUUU
Long non-coding RNA from Condylostylus longicornis, 1001 nucleotides. RefSeq lists it as uncharacterized. The transcript is spliced from 4 exons. The record is from RefSeq and is a predicted model, not a curated record. Lineage: Eukaryota; Metazoa; Arthropoda; Insecta; Diptera; Dolichopodidae.